AGCGGCGGAUGGGUGAGUAACACGUGGGGAACCUGCCCCUAAGUCUGGGAUACCAUUUGGAAACAGGUGCUAAUACCGGAUAAUAAAGCAGAUCGCAUGAUCAGCUUUUGAAAGGCGGCGUAAGCUGUCGCUAAGGGAUGGCCCCGCGGUGCAUUAGCUAGUUGGUAAGGUAACGGCUUACCAAGGCGACGAUGCAUAGCCGAGUUGAGAGACUGAUCGGCCACAUUGGGACUGAGACACGGCCCAAACUCCUACGGGAGGCAGCAGUAGGGAAUCUCCCACAAUGGACGCAAGUCUGAUGGAGCAACGCCGCGUGAGUGAAGAAGGUUUUCGGAUCGUAAAGCUCUGUUGUUGGUGAAGAAGGAUAGAGGUAGUAACUGGCCUUUAUUUGACGGUAAUCAACCAGAAAGUCACGGCUAACUACGUGCCAGCAGCCGCGGUAAUACGUAGGUGGCAAGCGUUGUCCGGAUUUAUUGGGCGUAAAGCGAGCGCAGGCGGAAAAAUAAGUCUAAUGUGAAAGCCCUCGGCUUAACCGAGGAACUGCAUCGGAAACUGUUUUUCUUGAGUGCAGAAGAGGAGAGUGGAACUCCAUGUGUAGCGGUGGAAUGCGUAGAUAUAUGGAGGAACACCAGUGGCGAAAGGCGGCUCUCUGUCUGCAACUGACGCUGAGGCUCGAAAGCAUGGGUAGCGAACAGGAUUAGAUACCCUGGUAGUCCAUGCCGUAAACGAUGAGUGCUAAGUGU
Molecule: ribosomal RNA, 743 nt
Filed under: uncultured bacterium
Lineage: Bacteria
Description: bacterial SSU rRNA
Rfam family: Bacterial small subunit ribosomal RNA
Source: RNAcentral